This 358-nucleotide unclassified non-coding RNA is filed under the name Cladonia melanopoda. RNAcentral describes it as "partial 28S-18S ribosomal RNA intergenic spacer". Lineage: Eukaryota; Fungi; Ascomycota; Lecanoromycetes; Lecanorales; Cladoniaceae. The record is from RNAcentral.
AUCGAAGCCUGUAACCGCCUCCGGGCGUGACGGGUGGCUGGUAUCCUCCUUCUGAGGGGUGUAUGUUGCAGCUUGGGCCGGCCCUUAGGGGCCGCGAAUCCCCAACACUGCGGCGGACCAUCCCUUGGGCAACUCAGUGGGGGCAAUUGGAUGGCUCGUAGGCAUCUUCGGCGGCUUCGGCCUUGGAGGUGGCUCGGGCCGGGUGCUGGGCUGCGGUCCACGUCCCGACCUUUUAACUAGCUCUGAUACCUCUUCAUUGAGGGUUGCCGGGGAGGUCUUUCGUUCCCCGGGGCGGAAGGCCUACCCGGGAAAGAUAGUUACCUGGUUGAUUCUGCCAGUAGUCAUAUGCUUGUCUCAA